AGAGUUUGAUCAUGGCUCAGGAUGAACGCUGGCGGCGUGCUUAACACAUGCAAGUCGAGCGAGAAAGUUCUUCGGAGCUUUUCUAGCGGCGGACGGGUGAGUAACACGUGGGCAACCUGCCUCAUAGAGGGGAAUAGCCUUCCGAAAGGAAGAUUAAUACCGCAUAAUAUUGUUGAAAGGCAUCUUUAACAAUCAAAGGAGCAAUCCGCUAUGAGAUGGGCCCGCGGCGCAUUAGCUAGUUGGUGAGGUAACGGCUCACCAAGGCGACGAUGCGUAGCCGACCUGAGAGGGUGAUCGGCCACAUUGGAACUGAGACACGGUCCAGACUCCUACGGGAGGCAGCAGUGGGGAAUAUUGCACAAUGGGGGAAACCCUGAUGCAGCAACGCCGCGUGAGUGAUGAAGGUCUUCGGAUUGUAAAGCUCUGUCUUUAGGGACGAUAAUGACGGUACCUAAGGAGGAAGCCACGGCUAACCACGUG
This 480-nucleotide ribosomal RNA is filed under the name uncultured bacterium. RNAcentral's name for it is "bacterial SSU rRNA". It matches the Rfam family "Bacterial small subunit ribosomal RNA", at positions 8 to 507 of the family's 1533-position model. The record is from RNAcentral.